AGGGAAUAUUGGGCAAUGGAUGCAAGUCUGACCCAGCCAUGCCGCGUGGAGGAAGAAGGUCCUCUGGAUUGUAAACUCCUUUUGUCGGGGAAGAAUAGGCAGGAUGCGUCCUGUUGUGACGGUACCCGAUGAAUAAGCCACGGCUAACUACGUGCCAGCAGCCGCGGUAAUACGUAGGUGGCAAGCGUUGUCCGGAUUUAUUGGGUUUAAAGGGUGCGUAGGUGGUUUAUUAAGUCAGUGGUGAAAGCUGGUUGCUCAACAAUCAAGUUGCCAUUGAUACUGAUAGACUUGAGAGAAGUGGAGGUUCAUGGAAUGGAUGGUGUAGCGGUGAAAUGCAUAGAUAUCAUCCAGAACGUCGAUUGCGAAGGCAGUGGGCUGUACUUUUUCUGACACUGAGGCACGAAAGCGUGGGGAUCAAAC
Molecule: ribosomal RNA, 420 nt
Filed under: uncultured bacterium
Lineage: Bacteria
Description: bacterial SSU rRNA
Rfam family: Bacterial small subunit ribosomal RNA
Source: RNAcentral